GGUCAGAUUGAACGCUGGCGGCAGGCCUAACACAUGCAAGUCGAACGGUGUAACAGGAAGCAGCUUGCUUCUUUGCUGACGAGUGGCGGACGGGUGAGUAAUGUCUGGGAAACUGCCCUGAUGAGGGGAUAACCACUGAAACGGUAGCUAACCGCAACGUCGCAAGACCAGUGGGACCUUCGGGCCUCUUGCCAUCCGAUGUGCCCAGAUGGGAUUAGUAGGUGGGUGGGCUCACCUAGGCGACGAUCCCCAGCUGGUCCGAGGACGACCAGCCACACUGGUCAGACACGGUCCGACUCCUCGGAGCAGCAGGAAGACAGGCCUUCGUAGCCUGAUGCAGCCACGCCGCGGUGGAAGAAGGCCUUCGGGCCAAAAAGUACUUCAGCGAGGGAGGAGUAAAGUAAUACCCGCUCUGACACGUUACCCGUGAAGAAGCACCGGCUAACUCCGCCAGCAGCCGCGGUAAUACGGAGGUGCAAGCGUUAAUCGGACCACUUGCUGGGCGUAAGCGUACGCAGGCGGUUUGUUAAGUCAGAUGAAUCGGGCUCAACCUGGGAACUGCAUCUGAUACUGGCAAGCUUGAGUCUCGUAGAGGUAGAACAGUGGUAGCGGUGAAAUGCGUAGAGAUCUGAGGAAUACCGGUGGCGAAGGCGGCCCCGGACGACAUCGCUCAGGUGCGAAAGCGGGCAACAGGAUUAGAUACCCUGGUAGCACGCCGUAAACGAUGUCGACUUGAGGUUGUGCCCGAGGCGUGGCUUCCGGAGCCGCGUUAAGUCGACCGCCGGGAGUGGCCGCAAGUUAAAACUCAAAUGAAUUGACGGGGCCCGCAAGCGGUGGAGCUGUGGUUUAACUCGAUGCAAGAAGAACCUACCUGGUCUUGACAUCCACGGAAGUUUUCAGAGAUGAGAAUGUGCCUUCGGAACCGUGAGACAGUGCAGGUGCUGUCGUCAGCUCGUGCUGUGAAAUGUGCGGGAAGUCCCGCAACGAGCGCAACCCUUAUCUUCCUUGGCGCAGCGGUCCGCGGAACUCAAAGGAGACUGCCAGUGAUAAACUGGAGGAAGGUGGGGAUGACGUCAAGUCAUCAUGGCCCUUACGACCAGGCUACGUGCUACAAUGGCGCAUAAAGAAGCGACCUCGCGAGAGCAAGCGGACCCUACAGUGCGUCGUAGUCCGGAUUGAGUCUGCAACUCUGACUCCAGAAGUCGGAAUCGCUAAUCGUGGAUCAGAAUGCCACGGUGAAUACGUUCCCGGGCCUCGUCACACCGCCCGCCCGUCACGCGCGGGGAGUGGGUUGCAAAAGAAGUAGGUAGCAACCUUCGGGAGGGCGCUUACCACUUUGUGAUUCAUGACUGGGUGAAGUCGUAACAAGGUAACCGUAGGGGAACCUGCGGUUG
Molecule: ribosomal RNA, 1394 nt
Filed under: metagenome
Description: bacterial SSU rRNA
Rfam family: Bacterial small subunit ribosomal RNA
Source: RNAcentral